UGAUCCCCGACACAACGUUUAUUCUGUUAAAAAAAUGCACAUUCAUAAACCCUCUUAUGAAGGUGCAAGGUGAACUCUAAUGGCUCAUUUCUGAAUUCUGAAGUAGGAACCGGAGGUGAGUAAUUGUACAAAAAGCAUAGAGAGACUCUGUGUGUGUGUGUGUGUGUCUGUUCAUCACGCGCCGGCGAGUCGCCAAGGGAGAAAUGCCAACGGCGGGCAAGGUAGGGGACUGGGCAUUCAAGGCGUUCACAGCAGGUCUCGGCGUCGCCACCAUUUAUCUAGCCGCCACCUUCUCCGUCAACGUCUACCGCGGCCUCGCCUGGCACUCUUCCCAAUCGGUAUACCCCACCCCCCAGCACGUCCUAUCUAUGCAUGCGCGUGUUUAUUAAUUUGUUGUAUUGACGGAACCCUAGUUGCGAAUUCUAGAACACCGGAGCUGUUGCGAGGUUAUUGCAAGUGUGACAUAUUGAGGUUUUACUGAUUCUUCUGAUGAUAAAAGUAUAAUCAUUGAAGGACGUUAUAGAGACGAGAUUUAAUCCAGUUAAUUGGUUAAUUUCAUACGCCGAGGACAAUAUAGAUUAAUGCUAUGCACGAUAUCAUGCUCAAGUUCAUUCUCAACUUCAAUUGUUAAUUGAGAAUCUAGCAUCUUUGAUUUGGUACUGCCCGAUGUCUGAGGCAUACAUUUCAUGACGGGCCUAGAUAGUCUAGCAAAUGUGAAACUUCUUUCUGAUUUGAAUGUGGUUGAAGCUAUCGGUUUUGAAUACCGAUUCUUAUGGUGAACUAGGCAUCAAUUUACCCUAAAAGGGGGUGAGUUUUGGAAAAGCUUUAGAUUCAAAUCUAUUAAAAAUGUUUGUAAGUUAAAGUAGAAAGUCAUCCAAAACUAUCAUGGAUCUGUAUUUAGAGUUCUUCGUGUGCACAUAAUCCUUGCAUAUAUUUAAAAUAUCACCCAUCAAUUGUACCUUUGUAUAUGUGUGUAUAAUACAAUGUUGUGUGCAUAUCUUACAAGACACAUUAUCGUAUAGACAUAAUUGUCUAUAUAGAUAUUGUUGUUAGUGAACAAAUGGCAUUAUCCAAGAUAUUGAAAGAAAAACGUUAUGGAUGUUAGGAUUCUGGUGAACAGUUCCCGAGCCACCAUUUCUAAGUUCGUGGGAUUUUUGAGUGGCUUGAGUAGAGUUUUAUGAGAAAUUGAAUGAAUUAGGUGAUGUAAGUUGUUGUCAUUAGACAACUAUCUCCAAAGCAUGGGCAAAGGUUUAUUUUUCGCUCUUAUGUGACCCCUUUUAUUCACCAAUAGAAUAGUCGCAAAUCUAUGUACUUGGUGUAUGAACUACCUUUGAAGUCAGUAAUCUUAUUAGGGGUAAGGCAUCAUUCCUAGUCCAAAGGUGUAAUGGUUCUGCUGAGAUAAAUCAUUCUGGUAAUAAUGUUAGAGGGAAGGAGAGUCAGCCUAAAAAAGUGAGAUUACUGACUUUACAAGAUACUGGGAAAGUUCUACUGAUACAGUGUUUUCCUAGUCAUAAUUGCUAGAGGGAGAAACUAAGGCAAAUUUAUUGUAAGAUACUAAUGAAGGUUCGGAAGUGAGAGAGGAGGAACUGAAACUGUCUUCCAUUUCUCAGCUGCUCAUGGUUAAUGUAGAUCUCGAUUUGCUCUUAGAUUUGCUUUACCACCUUGAGUCAUAGACUUUGCUUAUGUCAACCUGCAUAUUGUGAGCGGUGGUGUUCUUGGCAAACAGCUGACUAAUUCAUGGUUAAUUUUCUGCAGAAAGCCAAAAAGGUGGAAUCCGAUUAUCAAAAGUCAGAAUGAAGUAUUGUUGCAGUACAAUUUGUGAUUUGCUCUUUUAAGAAUGUAUAUUAUGAAGAAACUUCAUUUAGUUGAUUAUAGAAUAACUUCUUGAGUUCCUGAGCUUGUACGUGUUCUGGUCAAAUUGCUUGGAUGUACAUUUACCUUUUUUGAAUUGUAGCAACAAAGGUAUUUCUUGAAUUGUUGGACAUGCCUCUUUGAAACGACAAUUUGCAGAAUACAGAAUGCAUUUACACAAGAAAUUGAAAGCAUGUUUAAGUUGUUUAUAAUUGAUAUAAGUAGUUAAUAAGUGGGAAGUACUCCGUAGAUCCCACAAAAUGUGUAGGUGCCUAAGAAGCAUU
RNAcentral lists this long non-coding RNA (2135 nucleotides) under Olea europaea subsp. europaea. The record is from RNAcentral. Lineage: Eukaryota; Viridiplantae; Streptophyta; Magnoliopsida; Lamiales; Oleaceae.